RNAcentral lists this transfer RNA (72 nucleotides) under Marmota monax (woodchuck). It matches the Rfam family "tRNA". From Rfam's summary of the family: Transfer RNA (tRNA) molecules are approximately 80 nucleotides in length. Their secondary structure includes four short double-helical elements and three loops (D, anti-codon, and T loops). The record is from Rfam by way of RNAcentral. Lineage: Eukaryota; Metazoa; Chordata; Mammalia; Rodentia; Sciuridae.
AGUGUUGUGGCUCAGUGGUAGAGCACUUGCCUAGCAAGUAUGAGGCACUGGGUUGGAUCCUCAACAUCAUAU